UGUGUGUGUGUGUGUGUGUGUGUGUGUGUGUGUGUGUGAGAGAGAGAGAGAGAGAGAGAGAGAGUGAGUGUGUGUGCUUGUGUGUUCGCAGGAAGACCAAUGAUGUCCCUGCAGGAGCUGUGGCUGGUCACCUGGGGGUGGGGGAAAGAUGAGGUGUUCCCCCUCCAUACCUGCAUCCUCACUCUGCUCCACCCAGACCCCCAGCGGCUGGCCUGCUGACCCCCUAGGGUCUCUUUGCCCCUGGCCAUGGCUGCCCUCACCACCUUCUGCCUCUCCAGCCACUCUGGGAUUUUGCUUGUUUGCUGUUUUUGUUUAGUUCAGAUCUAUUUCGUUUGUGGUUUGGAAACUUUCAGACCGAACAGAGAAAAAAAAAAAGAAAGAAAGAAAAAAAAAAUUGAGAGACUAGUGUCCCUGUCCCCAGCCUGCUGCGGAUUUGGUGAAUUCAUGCCCACAGCCCCACCUUGGCCUCCCACUGGAGGCAGAGGGGCCCAGGGAAGUACAGUUAUCUGUAUACAGCCACACUGGGCUAGCGGGGCACUGCUUCCUGGCUUGGGCUCACUGCUCACUGUGGGUACCUGUGAGGUUGGCGGCAGGUAUGGGCCCUGCGUGCCGGGGCCAGGGUAGUUGGCAGGCGUGGAUCUCUGGGGGACCAGAAGCUUAGACUGUCAUGAGGAUGCAGGGAGGGGUUGAGGACAGCCGGUGGGCUUGAAGCUGGCAUUUUAUAAUUAAGUGUGGACUGUGCUCCUGAGGCCACUUACCCAAGUGUCUCCUCUUGGACUCUUGUCCGGGGACUGCCUGCCCACCUACAAAACCUAGCAGCUGCUGAGGUGCCCAGGGACACCCUAACCAACUUGAAAG
Molecule: long non-coding RNA, 858 nt
Filed under: Rattus norvegicus (Norway rat)
Lineage: Eukaryota; Metazoa; Chordata; Mammalia; Rodentia; Muridae
Description: long non-coding RNA NONRATT019070
Source: RNAcentral